RNAcentral lists this long non-coding RNA (1883 nucleotides) under Brassica napus (rape). RNAcentral describes it as "long non-coding RNA (BNAP_LNC006852)". Lineage: Eukaryota; Viridiplantae; Streptophyta; Magnoliopsida; Brassicales; Brassicaceae. The record is from RNAcentral.
GUAUUUUGAUAUAUUAAGUAGUGGAGAAGCUUAAAGACGUUGAAUAAAUCUCAAAUGAGUUAGGAUGAAGAAGUUAUUUCACUUUCAAAUCAGGUGAUCCCUGUUUUCCUGAUUGGAAAAUGACAACUUCUUUGUCAUUCUAAUCAAACCAGGUUGAAUUGAGAUAUAAAUAGCUUGAUUUGGAUACAUAAAAUAGUGUAAACACACCAGGAAGUUGAAUAAAUGUCAUAGGAGUUAGGGAUGAAGUUAUCCCACUUUCAAAUAAGGUAAUUCCAGUUUUCAUGUCUGUGAAUAUGACAAAUUAUUCGUCAUUCUAAUCAAGCCAGGAUGUAUCUAAUGUAAGAAGUUGUAUUUGGAUACAUAAACUAGUGGAGAAUCACCAGGAAGUUGAAUAAAUCUCAUAGGAGUUAGGAUGUAGAAGUUAUCACACUUUCUAAUAAGAUGUCCCAAUCUUCACGUUUGGGAAUAUGACAACUUUUUCGUUAUUCUAAUCAAACCAGGAUGAAGCGCGAGAUAUGAAGCUUGAUUUUGAUAUAUAAAGUGGUGGAGAAUCACCAGGAAGUUGAAUAAAUUUUAUAGGACUUAGGAUGAAGAAGUUAUCCGACUUUCAUAUCACGUGAUCCAAGUUUUCCUGUUUGAGAACAUGACAAGUUCUUCAUCAUUCUAAUCAAACCAAGAUGAAUAGUGAUGUAAAAAACUUGAUUAAGAUACAUAAAUAGUGGAGAAUCAUCUGGAAAUUUAAUAAAUCUCAUAGGUGUUAUGAUAAAGAAGUUAUUCCAUUUUCAAAUGAAGUGAUUCCAAUUUUCAUGUUUGGGAAAAUGACAACUUCCUCGUCAUUCUAAUCAAACAUGGAUGAAUCGUGAUGAAAAAGCUUGAUCUGGAUACAUAAAGUAGUGGACAUCACCAGGAAGUUGAAUAAAUCUGUAGGAGUUAGGGAAUAUGACAUCGUUUUCGUCAUUCUAAUCAAACCAGGAUUAAUCGCGGGGUAAAACGUUUGAUUUGGAUACAUAUAGUAGUGGAGAAUCACAUGGAAGUUGAAUAAAUCUCAUAGGAGUUUGGAUGAAAAAGUUAUCUCACUUUCAAAUAAGGUGAUCUCAGUUUCCUGUUUGGGAAUAUGAAUUCUUUGUCAAUCUAAUCAAACAAGGAUGAAUCGCGAUGUAAGAAGCUGUAUUUUGAUACAUAUAGUAGUGGAGAAUCAUCAGGAACUUGAAGAAAUCUCAUAGGAACAUGACAAAUUCAAGUGAUUCAAGUUUUCUUAUUUGGGAACAUGACAAAUUCUUCUUUAUUCUAAUCAAACCAGGAUGAAUCACGAUGUAAGAAGCUGUAUUUGGAUACAUAAAGUAGUUGAGAAUCAUCAGGAAGUUGAAUAAAUCUCAUAGGUGUUAGGAUGAAGAAGUUAUCUGACUUUCAAAUCAGGUGACCCCUGUUUUCCUGAUUGGAAAAAUGACAACUUCUUUGUCAUUCUAAUCAAACCAGGUUGAAUUGCGAUAUAAAAAGCUUGAUUUGGAUACAUAAAAUAGUGUAGAAUCACCAGGAAGUUGAAUAAAUGUCAUAGGAGUUAGGGAUGGAGUUAUCCCACUUUCAAAUAAGGUUACUUCAGUUUUCGUGUCUGUGAAUAUGAAAAAUUGUUCGUCAUUCUAAUAAAACUAGGAUCACUUAAUUCGGAUAAAUAAAGUAGUGGAGAAUCACCAGGACGUUUAAUAAAUCUCAUAGGAGUUAGGAUGAAGAAGUUAUCCCACUUUCAAAUAAUAUUAUCCCAAUUUUCAUGUUUGGGAAUAUGACAUCUUUUUCGUCAUUCUAAUCAAACCAGGAUAAAUCGCGGGGUAGAAGCUUGAUUUUGUAUACAUGAAGUAGUGGAGAACCACAAUUAAUAUGAAUAAAUC